GAGAACGCUGGCGGCGCACAUAAGACAUGCAAGUCGAACGAACUUAACUCAUUCUUUAGUUUGAGAGCGGUUAGUGGCGGACUGGUGAGUAACACGUAAGCAACCUGCCUAUUAGAGGGGAAUAACAGUGAGAAAUCAUUGCUAAUACCGCAUAUGCUAACAGUAUCGCAUGAUACAGUUAGGAAAGGAGCAAUCCGCUAAUAGAUGGGCCUGCGGCGCAUUAGAUAGUUGGUGAGGUAACGGCUCACCAAGUCGACGAUCAGUAGCCGACCUGAGAGGGUGAUCGGCCACAUUGGAACUGAGAUACGGUCCAGACUCCUACGGGAGGCAGCAGUGGGGAAUAUUGGGCAAUGGGCGAAAGCCUGACCCAGCAACGCCGCGUGAAGGAAGAAGGCUUUCGGGUUGUAAACUUCUUUUGUCAGGGAAGAGUAGAAGACGGUACCUGGCGAAUAAGCCACGGCUAACUACGUG
RNAcentral lists this ribosomal RNA (471 nucleotides) under uncultured bacterium. Its description in RNAcentral is "bacterial SSU rRNA". It matches the Rfam family "Bacterial small subunit ribosomal RNA", at positions 31 to 507 of the family's 1533-position model. The record is from RNAcentral.